CCUACGGGAGGCAGCAGUGAGGAAUAUUUGUCAAUGGACGCAAGUCUGAACCAGCCAUGCCGCGUGCAGGAAGACGGCUCUAUGAGUUGUAAACUGCUUUUGUACGAGGGUAAAUCCCGAUACGUGUAUCGGGUUGAAAGUAUCGUACGAAUAAGGAUCGGCUAACUCCGUGCCAGCAGCCGCGGUAAUACGGAGGAUUCAAGCGUUAUCCGGAUUUAUUGGGUGUAAGGGGUGCGUAGGCGGUUCGAUAAGUUAGAGGUGAAAUCCCGGGGCUCAACUCCGGCACUGCCUAUGAUACUGUGGGGCUAGAGUAUAGUAGCGGGAGGCGGAAUGUAUGGUGUAGCAGUGAAAUGCAUAGAGAUCAUACAGAACACCGAUUGCGAAGGCAGCUUACCAAACUACGACUGACGUUGAGGCACGAAGGCGUGGGGGGCAAACAGGAUUAGAUACCCGUGUAGUC
This 460-nucleotide ribosomal RNA is filed under the name uncultured bacterium. RNAcentral describes it as "partial 16S ribosomal RNA". It matches the Rfam family "Bacterial small subunit ribosomal RNA", at positions 338 to 795 of the family's 1533-position model. The record is from RNAcentral.